AUUGAACGCUGGCGGCAUGCCUUACACAUGCAAGUCGAACGAUAACGCGGGGCAACCUGGCGACGAGUGGCGAACGGGUGAGUAAUAUAUCGGAACGUGCCCAGUAGUGGGGGAUAGCCCGGCGAAAGCCGGAUUAAUACCGCAUACGACCUGAGGGUGAAAGCGGGGGAUCGCAAGAACUCGCGCUAUUGGAGCGGCCGAUAUCAGAUUAGCUAGUUGGUGGGGUAAAAGCCUACCAAGGCGACGAUCUGUAGCUGGUCUGAGAGGACGACCAGCCACACUGGGACUGAGACACGGCCCAGACUCCUACGGGAGGCAGGAGUGGGGAAUUUUGGACAAUGGGCGCAAGCCUGAUCCAGCCAUGCCGCGUGCGGGAAGAAGGCCUUCGGGUUGUAAACCGCUUUUGUCAGGGAAGAAACGCGCUGGGCUAAUACCUCGGCGUAAUGACGGUACCUGAAGAAUAAGCACCGGCUAACUACGUGCCAGCCGCCGCCGUAA
RNAcentral lists this ribosomal RNA (498 nucleotides) under uncultured bacterium. Its description in RNAcentral is "partial 16S ribosomal RNA". It matches the Rfam family "Bacterial small subunit ribosomal RNA", at positions 29 to 523 of the family's 1533-position model. The record is from RNAcentral.